GAUGGAGGAGCCAAGACUCUGGAGGAAGACAUCGCUCCACCAACCAGGAUCCUCACCAGGAAUCUGGAGGACUGAUGGCGAAGCCGUACAUCUGGAAGGAAAAUCCUGAGGAUCACCAGCACUCUACCAUCAAGGAUUCCUCAUAAGUUUGCAUUAUCUGGACAUGGUGGACUAGACGCACCUGAGCUGAACCUCACCUGAUCCUGUUUGGUCGGGGGUAGACACACCUGAGCUA
Molecule: long non-coding RNA, 235 nt
Organism: Gadus morhua (Atlantic cod)
Lineage: Eukaryota; Metazoa; Chordata; Actinopteri; Gadiformes; Gadidae
Exons: 3
Source: RefSeq, a predicted model, not a curated record